ACGCCAGACAGAGAACUAGGCGGAAAAAUGGAAUUAGCCUGCAUUAGCCUGAACAGGGAGGAGUAUACUAACAGGACAGGAGAGUUAGAGCAUCCUAGGAAAGGCCAUAAUCCUGUAGUGGACUGUUGAUGGUUAACCUGUCCGCUGCGAUUGUCAGGGAUUUGUCCUUUGCUGGUAACCUGGUAACAUACACUCCCAGGUCUUUCUCUGCCUCUGUGGUGGAUAGUGGAGUGUUUCCCAUGUGGUAUUGGUGUGCUGGAUAUCCUCUCCCAAGGUGCAGGACUUUACAUUUUUCUUCAUUGAAUUAUAGCAGACACUUUGUUCCACUCCUGUAGCUUGGUGAGGUCUUCUGGUAGGAAAUCCACAGUCAAGGGUUAAACAUAGUAAUGUAAUGCCAUUUUCUUGCAUGGGAUGUGCAUUAAUACUGUGUAACCCUAAUGUGAAAUUUGUCAUGUGUGAGAGGAAUGAAAAGUCAUGUUUGGUUGUUGUUCAGCAGUACAGUGAUCAGGAUCCUCAAGCAGACCAAGCACUGGGGUUUGGGAGUGUAUUUUUUCUUUUUACAAUGCUUUGCCGAACUGAAGGGCUUGCUCAACAGUUAUUUAGCAAGACUGAAUUAGUUUCCAUUCUUGUCUCCAGUAUACUGAUGGACACAAAGAGGUGAAGCUUGUGGUUGUUGCAGCAUCUUUUUUCUUCUUUCUACAAACACUGUUUUUCAACUUUCUUCUGCAGAGCCCAUCCAGCGCUGGGCCCGGCCACUGCAAGCCUUGUUGGGUCAAUGUGUGGGAAAUCAGCCAAGGUGGAGUUUGAGUCGGUCGGCCUCAACCAUGAGGGCUGUGUGAGCGGCAGGCUGGCCGUGAGCCUUCCUGGGAGUGCUGGGCGGCCUGGUGCCCCGGCUGAAGGCAAGCGGCCUCCCUGAGACACCCAAAGACUGGCUGACACAAGAUCUUGUGCUGGUACUGGUGUCUGAAGGCUGUGCAGUGGUGCGGACACAGGCUCAGAGUGCCCAGGUGGACCAAGAUGCUGGUUGCCGCCUGCCUGGGAGCAGACUCACAGAGGUCAGCGCGGGGCAGCAGGACAGCGCCCUCAGCAGUGACGAUGAGUCUCUCCAUGAAGGCUGCACAGCAGCAGGCCACCGUCGCCCGAGAGCAUCCCGAGGAACACUUCAAUGUCCAGGUGUGAGGAUGUCAAGCCACCACAAGCCAGGAGGAAGUGGCUGCUGGGGCCAAGACAGCAGGUGAAGCAGAACCCUUAAGCCUCAGGUCUUCACCCCUGGACGAAGGAGGUGUUUCUUGGCGGCCAAACUCGGAGACUCACCAGAAAAGACCUUGGUAGAUGAUGCAAGUUUUGCUCGCUGGAGACCACAAGAGUAUUCACCCGUGCCUCAUAUUGUGGGUGAGGAGAGCAGCCUGCACCAUCUCCCAAGAGGUAUGUUUAACAGUGAGGCAUGCACACAGGCAGGAAGCAGCACUACAGUCACCAGGAGACAUUUUACAUAAAACUGGCUACAAAAUACUGCUGCUGGCCAGAAUGGAGAUCAGGUUCAGCAGGAUCCCAGCAAGGUGCUCUCUUUACUUCUUUGUGUGAUUUUGAAAACACUUCAGCAGCCAAGGGGAACGCUCAAGAGAAAGUGUCAUAUCUAUGCAAACCUUCCUGCAGGGGUGAGCUGAAAGGUGAAAAAUGUAGUUACCACGACUCCUUGGAGAAGAGAGACACCAUUAGUAGUUUGGUUGGUGAGAAAAGCUUCACCAGUCAUGCUGCUUGUACAGGGGAGAAGACUUCAGUGUUGUCCUCCAGGCCUCUUUGCAGCGGGUACUCUAGAUCAAGCAGCAGACCAAGUGUCUUGCAUGUGUGUGUGUGUGUGUGUGUGUGUGUGUGUGUGUGUGUGUGUGUGUGUGUGUGUGUGUGUGUGUGUGUGUGUGUGUGUGUGUGUGUGUGUGUGUGUGUGUGUGUGUGUGUGUAUUUACCUAGUUGUGAAAUACCGUACUAGGCUCGUGCUGUCCCAUCUCCAUAAUGCUUAUUAUCCAGUUUGUCUUUAAAUUAAUGAAUCGUUUAUGCACACACAGUCUCCUUGUCAGUCCGUUUCAUGUUGUUAUACUUCUGUAUGGAAAACUGUAUUUCUUGUCAUUUCUUAUCACUGCCUCUUGUCACACUUCUGUCACGUACCACUAGGUCUUCCCUGUCCAAUUUCUCCAAUCCCUCUUGUAUCCUGUACAAUGCUAUUAGGUCCCCUCUCUCUCUUCUUCUCUCUAGUUUUGUUAGUCCCAAUUUCUCCAGUCUUUCUUCAUAGGUAUGUUCUCUCAGAGUUUCCGGUAAUUUAGUCGCUGCUCUUUGUACUCUUUCCAACUUUCUAAUUUCUGUCUUCAACAUAGGUGACCACACUAAUGCUGCAUAUUCCAGUCUUGGACGUAUCAUCGAUGUUAUUAGUUUCUUUACCAUUUCUUCAUCUAAAUAUAUUAAUGCUGCUUUUAUGUUUCUAAGAGGAUUGUAUGUUUCCCCAGUUAUCCGGUCUAUAUGUUUUCCAAAGGAUAACUUGUCUGUUAUGAUCACUCCCAAAUCUUUUUCUUCAGUUUUUUUUCAUGAUUCUUUCAUUACUCAGAGAGUAGUUCCCCGAUAUUCAUCUACUGCUCUUACCAAACUCCAUUACGCUACACUUCUCAGUAUUGAAUGUCAUUUCCCAUUUGCAUGACCAUUCGCUUAUUAUAUCAAGAUCUUGGCUCAGGGCUACACAGUCUUCUUCAUUAUUUCAGCAUCAUCAGCAAACAUAAUAUUCAUAUAGCUUGUCGCCCCUUCUGUUAUGUCAUUAAUAUAUAUUACAAACAUAAUCGGAGCCAACACCGAUCCUUGGGGGACUCCACUGGUCACUUCCAUCCAGCUUGAUUUAUUAUUCCUAAUUACUGUUCUCAUUUCUCUCUUCGUCAAAAAGUCCACAAUCCAAUCCAAUAUUGAACCACCCAGACCUCCAACAUGAUUAAGUUUCCAUAUUAAUCGCUUGUGUGGUACUUUAUCACAUGCCUUCUUUAAGUCCAGAUACACACAAUCUGCCCAACCGUCCCUUUCCUGUAUUAUAUCAAUUAGGGUAGGAGCGUUAGUAUCCAAUCAGGAAGUGCCAUGUAUUUCUUUUGAUCACAGAUUUAAACUCAAACUUAGUACAAAACUGAUUUUGUUUACCUCUCAAAUCCUUCAGUAGUCAUUAAUGUUUAUAUUAAGACCAAUGCCAAAUUUCUGUGGAACAUAAUUUUACAUACAUGCAUACAUUUGCUACGUGAUUGGAGAUAAUGGUAUUACUGCUAAGUCCAAUCACUUGCCAGCUAAUUCCAAUCACUUGCCAUUAAAAAUCCAAACAUAUAAAUUGAGUCAUCAAAAUAAAAUGCAGUUUAUUUCAAAUUUAUAUUUAUCUUUUGCCCUUAGGGGCCUAGUGACGAAAUACAUCAAAAAAAAAUUUUCUGGGAGAAAUAAAACACAUGAUGAAUGAGAAUGCAAAUAAUGUUUUAAUAUGCUUGCAAUGAUGAUAAUACAUAAUAUGGCUAAACCAAACAUAAUUUCUGGAAGUUAAAAUGAAAGUAAAAUUCCUAUUGAACAUCACUGAAGCAUGAAAUUAUAUUAUUCCAAGACAACUCUUCCCAGCUGCUACUACUCCAUUUUCAACCUUAAUUGUAGCAGUUCUACCCUGAAUCACAUCCGUUACACAUUUAUUUUGAAUAACACAAACUUCAUCUGGUGUCACUGGGAAAGAAAAAUCGUCAGAACUGCCCCAAACAAAGUGAUCCUUCUUAGCUUCCAAUUCCUUAAGAAAGUGUACCUCAAGGCCCUCUUCUGCUACUUUUUCUAUUCUACCAAGACAAGCUUUAUGUGUAACAGUCUUUCUACCUUUGAAAGUAGAAUGAAUGACAGGUAACUUAACCAUAACCCACGAUCCUUGCUCAGGUUGCUGUUGAAGAUCUAUGAACUGCAGUGCAUUUUCAGUGGCAAUAGUUUCUAAACCAAUUGAGUCAUCAUCACUGUCUUCCAACGGUACCAUGCUGGCUUCUAGCGAUUCAUCACUGGAAGAAUCUUCAUUUUCCUCAGUUAGAGUGUUCACUGAUGUUGAAGCAGUCACUGGUUCAGAUGUCUGAGCAGACUUGCCUUUCUUGGGUAGUUUUGAAUCCUUACUGCGUUUCUUGAGCUCUAAAGCUUGUUUAGCAUUGCGUUCCUUUUCAAGUAACUGUACUGCAGCUGAUGAAGAAAGAGCAAAGGUCUUGUCUCUAACGUUUUUUUUGUACUUAGGACCUUGUGUUUUACGUGGUGAUGGGAACCACUUGUAGCCCUUAAAUGCAGCGCUGAUAGUUGAUCCUUGUUUGGGCUUGUUCUUCAUGUUUGGUGAUAGGAAUGUCUCUUUUGAUGGGAGUCUGAAGUUAACUUCAGCUUUUUUUUGUAAGAGAAACCUUUUUACUUUAUCAGUCAGGGCCAAAUCACAUGCUGUUGCUCUGCAGU
This is a long non-coding RNA of Eriocheir sinensis (Chinese mitten crab), 4470 nucleotides long. RefSeq lists it as uncharacterized. The transcript is spliced from 4 exons. Lineage: Eukaryota; Metazoa; Arthropoda; Malacostraca; Decapoda; Varunidae. The record is from RefSeq and is a predicted model, not a curated record.